GGGCACUUAGCUUAGUGGGAGAGCGCCUGCUUCACACGCAGGAGGUCACAGGUUCAAAUCCUGUAGUGCCCACCA
Molecule: transfer RNA, 75 nt
Filed under: Pseudomonadota bacterium
Lineage: Bacteria; Pseudomonadati; Pseudomonadota
Also listed under: 2 other names
Description: tRNA-Val
Rfam family: tRNA
About the family: Transfer RNA (tRNA) molecules are approximately 80 nucleotides in length.
Source: RNAcentral